RNAcentral lists this ribosomal RNA (363 nucleotides) under uncultured bacterium. RNAcentral describes it as "bacterial SSU rRNA". It matches the Rfam family "Bacterial small subunit ribosomal RNA", at positions 72 to 422 of the family's 1533-position model. The record is from RNAcentral.
AAGCCCCGCAAGGGGCAAGUAGAGUGGCAAACGGGUGAGUAACACGUGGGUGACCUGCCUUCGAGCGGGGGAUAACGUCCCGAAAGGGACGCUAAUACCGCAUAACAUCCUGCCUUUGAAGAGGUGGAGAUCAAAGCCGGGGAUCGCAAGACCCGGCACUUGGAGAGGGGCCCGCGCCUGAUUAGCUAGUUGGUGGGGUAAUGGCCUACCAAGGCAACGAUCAGUAUCCGGCCUGAGAGGGCGGACGGACACACUGGGACUGAGACACGGCCCAGACUCCUACGGGAGGCAGCAGUGGGGAAUUGUUCGCAAUGGGCGCAAGCCUGACGACGCAACGCCGCGUGGAGGAUGAAGAUUUUCGGA